Molecule: ribosomal RNA, 495 nt
Filed under: uncultured bacterium
Lineage: Bacteria
Description: partial 16S ribosomal RNA
Rfam family: Bacterial small subunit ribosomal RNA
Source: RNAcentral
GACGAACGCUGGCGGCGUGCCUAAUACAUGCAAGUAGAACGCUAAAGGAGGAGCUUGCUCUUCUGGAUGAGUUGCGAACGGGUGAGUAACGCGUAGGUAACCUGCCUGGUAGCGGGGGAUAACUAUUGGAAACGAUAGCUAAUACCGCAUAACAGUAGAUGUUGCAUGACAUUUGCUUAAAAGGUGCAAUUGCACCACUACCAGAUGGACCUGCGUUGUAUUAGCUAGUUGGUGGGGUAACGGCUCACCAAGGCGACGAUACAUAGCCGACCUGAGAGGGUGAUCGGCCACACUGGGACUGAGACACGGCCCAGACUCCUACGGGAGGCAGCAGUAGGGAAUCUUCGGCAAUGGACGGAAGUCUGAACGAGCAACGCCGCGUGAGUGAAGAAGGUUUUCGGAUCGUAAAGCUCUGUUGUAAGAGAAGAACGAGUGUGAGAGUGGAAAGUUCACACUGUGACGGUAUCUUACCAGAAAGGGACGGCUAACUACGUG